This is a non-coding RNA of Pelobates cultripes (western spadefoot toad), 2731 nucleotides long. The record is from the annotation of a GenBank genome assembly. NCBI's taxonomy places the organism in Eukaryota, Metazoa, Chordata, Amphibia, Anura, Pelobatidae.
AUUAACAACAUGACAUAUCUGAGAGCGGGCUAGAGAUAUUUGCUUGAGGCAUAAGCCUGCUGAUCUUCUUACGAAAUCUAUACAAUGCCUGAACCAGCUUUUAUUUGGUAUCCUGGGCAAAUGUCAGAUAGGCUAGGGUCUGGCAUUAAUAUGCUUGCAGUCAGUGUUGUGUCCACCUGCAUCCCACGGAAUGAAGUUCUCUGUGUGCAGUGGUCCUGUACCUGUAACCCUGCAAUGCAAAACAUUACAGCCACUAGAGGUGCUUCUGCAGCUCUUACCACGAAAAUCUCAGUCACGUGACGUGGAAGCCACCAUAGGACGGCAUUGUUUUAUUCCUAUGGGGAAGCUUGGAUGCGUGCGCGGUGCUCAUCGUGCGUGCGCAAAGGGUUCCCAAUGCUAAUCUUCGAAGAGCAUUGGAUUGGAUAUCUGCGGAGAAAGCCAUGCCUCCACCGUGGCAUCAAAGGAGGCAGAGAGGUAAGCAGCACAGAGUGAUCCUCAGCAGUGGAAAAGGGUGUGGAAAUCAUACAUUUUGUUAUGUUACAGGGCAAACAGGGAGGCAGAGGGGGGAAGAUUUUAAAUAGGAACAGACACACAAAAGUAUUAGAGUUCCUUUAAGACUGUUCUUGAUUUAUACUUUUCACAGAAACAAGAUCAGUCACAUGCUUGGCCAUGUCAAUUUUAGUUAAUCCACCCCACCUCAGGGCAGGGAGUUAUGUGACGCAAACGAAAUAAUGACAGAGUAUGGUUAGCUCUGCUUUCAAUGAUAACGAAAGGAGACUUUGCAUUAGGCAAUGUAAAAAUGUCACAGAAUCACUCUGAGCACCAUAACAACUUUAUAAAAAUGAAGAUAUGUUGUAAUGAGGUCCCUGACCCCAGCAUACCUUCAUGAGUAAACUGUUCAUUAAGAUUUUCUGUCCGACAGUGGUCAGCUUUGCCCCCUCCACAUCUGUUUGAGUCUGAGGCUUGAAUCAGGAAGCCACAGGCUGGGCAUCGCUGAUAGACAAGGCGACAGCUGAAAUAAACCCCUGAAGGCAAACUUGUGCCAGGCACCUCCUGGCACCAUAACAACUUCAUUCCAAUUACUUUUUUAUGCUAUUCACAGUGUUCCUUUACGUUUUUUAUUUAUUUUUUAAAAAUUAAAUCUAGAUAGUAGUGAAUUGAAAACUGACAGGAAUGUUCCCUGUGUAAUGUUUUCAGUAAACAAGUGAGAGACUGAAUUGCAAAAUUUAGGCCAAAUACAUGAUUAAAAAAAAAUCAACCAUGAAUUACAAACAUACAGAGAAAUAUACAGGGUUAUUUACUCAGGUAUGAAUUCAAAGUGAAUUUAAAGGGACACUAACGGCAGUGAUCUGGGUACAGGGUCCCCGGCUUUUUAAAAACAUUGCCUUUUAGUAGAUACAGCAAUGUUUGAAAUGCAGGGCUAAACACACCUCUUGUUGCUGUCUUCCUGACGGCCACUAGAGGGUGCUUCCAUUCCCAUAACCGACUGUUACAGGAUGUUGCAUGAAUUUGAUUGGACAGUUUAGCCCUCACUGUACAUGCACUUAUCCCAACGGGACGGAAAGCUAAGACGCUUUUGAGGGAGCAGGAGGCACCACUGUGUGAGCCUCAGAGUUGAAGAAUGGGAAGUAAAACUUUUUUUUAAAAUUAAAAAGAUAGGGAGGGCCCUCUAUCGUAAAUAGUGAGGAUAUAGUAGCAGGCAUAGGCAACCUUCGGCACUCCAGAUGUUUUGGACUACACCUCCCAUGAUGCUUUGCCAGCAUUAUGGGCAUAAGAGCAUUAUGGGGGAUGUAGUCCACAACAUCUGGAGUGCCGAAGGUUGCCUAUCCCUGUUUAGUUUCAGGAAUCCAGGUUUGCAUUCCUAACACUAUAUUGUUUCUUUAAGGCCACUGAAAACAUAGCGGAUCUUAAAUUUGAAACUCACUUUAGAGCAUACCCUGAUAGUAAUGAAAAUAAACAGGAUUAGUCGCUAAAGUAUGAAUUGCUGGGAAUUCACAUUAACCCCUUAAGAACCAAACUUCUGGAAUAAAAAGGGAAUCAUGACAUGUCACACGUCGUGUGUACCUAAGGGGUUAAACGUGAAAUUUAGGCAGAAAUAAGCAAAUUAAAAACCAAGGCUAACUUGCAGAUUGUAUCCUAAAAUUUAACAUUCACUUAAACUCCUGAUAAUUCUCACUAUAGUGAAUAAGUCAGACAUGGGAUUUGUGGUUUGGGUUGUGUAAAUUCAUUACAAAUAAACUGCUUUAUAUCUACAAUAGUAGCUCUGCAUUCACAGUAAUCAAAUUAAACUAAAAGGGAAAAGCUAAAACCAAUAGAUUUCUCAUUAAUAACGAUGAAAAUGAGUUCUGUCGUACCUGGACAUUUUAUCCUUUUAAGCCUUAUUUCAGAUUUUCCCUGUGUGACUUGCAUACCUCACAGAUUACAAAGUUUGAAAUGAAAUAUUUCGGCACAAAUCGUGAGAGGUGAAGUUUUGGUUUGUGUUACCUCAUUAGCCAUCUGUUUUCCAAUAUCAGACCUAAGUGGACAUUCUCAUGGCACAACCUGCAGGCCCUGGUCACCUGCUCCCAUAAACAGGUGGUUUAAUCAGUUUAAAAAAAAAAAUCAUUCAGGUGGUCAGAUCUUUGAACUUUGUAUGGCCUUGUGUGAUUCAUUUAGCAACUAGUGUGUACAGUUGGUUAUAGAGUCCAGGAAUGUGGAUUACACUUCUCACCAUGCAAAACCAGACUACUCA